Molecule: long non-coding RNA, 102 nt
Organism: Sander lucioperca (pikeperch)
Lineage: Eukaryota; Metazoa; Chordata; Actinopteri; Perciformes; Percidae
Exons: 3
Source: RefSeq, a predicted model, not a curated record
ACAGUAAUCAGCGCUCAACUUUGGUCCCAUCCCCCACAUACUUGCAUCAGAAACUACAUCUGGAGAAGGAGCAGCAGAGAAGGAGGGGCGACAGAUUUACAA